CGGGUCGCCUUGUCAGGAAGUUCAAGUAGUCACUGGAGCGCUUCCUACCUCUCUUCCUCCUUAAGAGCCAAAUAAAUAAGGAGACUUGUGUCCAGCUGUCCUUCUGUACUGCUCAGUGGGGGUGAGAUCCAGAAUGUGUUGAUACUUGUGUCAUGCUGUGUGAGAAUAAAUGUCAGCACUGCAGCACAGCUACCACCCACCUAGUCCACCAGCCAUCUCCACUCAACUGGUGGAUGAUCUCCUGUUGACAGGCCAUGGAUUAUUAUCAUGGUUUCAGGGCUAAUAGGAAUGCUACUGCGCUUCACAACAGAUGUCUUUUCAAAUCCUGACAAUACCUCCCACAGAGAUGAGGAGAAAACGCUAUCACUGUACUCAGCUGACCCACUGUGUAGAUGUAAAUGAUAGAUAAUGUCCAACAGUGACAACAAAGACUAAUACAUGCCUGCAGACACACAUAGACGUUUUUUACACAGGUCGGUGUUCACAUGCACAGACCUUAUUUUCAGGGGACCAAGAAAGGAUUUCCAACAAAAGAUUUUCAUUUAAAUAUCCAACCAGUAUAAUGCUAAUCUAAUGCCAGCAAAUGUAAUCAGUCAUCUUAGAUACAUUACUAUCUAUUACUAUUUUUUUAUAGUUUGGCUAUAAUUUGAGACCUACAAUACCAUUCUUCAGGUUUAAAAUUAGAUGAAGGCUAAAAGGCUUGGCGUUAGCCCCUUUGACUGAAAAUCAUGACGGGUAGAGUGCACUGUAACACUAGUGUGAGGUGACUUCUGUGAACAUUAGUUGUAUGCACACGAUCUGAAAGCGGCAGGAAAGCAGUACUUACAGUAACCUACAACUCAUGGGCUGUCCCAGUUCCAUGUCGAGGAGUGUGCAGUGUAAUUGAAACACGUUCCAGUCUUGAACAAUUGUCAUGUGUCAUUUCUGUCUUUCACAUGUAUGCAGACUUGAUGAUCUGACUGAUCUGAAACAACUGGGUGAGAAGCUAGUAACCCUGCUGUGGUAAUCAGUUAUAAUGAGCAUAAACAGAGACAAAAACAUUAUUGCUUUGGAAUAACGAUUUCUAUGUCACAAUAACAUGUUUGACAACAAUUAGAUUUUUCUGUUGGAUUUCUCCAUAAAUAAGUAUGCAUAUACAUAUGCAAUAUAUCGACAGCCACAUAUACUAUAUUUAUUAUGUGCAAUGUGCCUAUUAAAUGAAUCAUUGCAUAUACUACAAAACACAUAUUCAUGUUUAAAACACAAUUUGUAUUGUUUGUUAAUCAGAACCACCGUCCUGCCCUGAGAACUCAAACCACAGUGGUUAACACUUGAUUUCACCAUACUGUAAAAAGAGAAACAUCCUUUCUGGGCAUUUGGUCUCAAAUGAAGUGUUUCCUUUUUCCCACACUCGCUUUCAGUUCUAUCAACCCUGUUUAUCAGCUAAUGGAUUUCUAAUACUCAUAUAAACAUUCUGGUAUUCCUUUAAACUAACAUUUAAUAACAGAUACUGCAGAUACUCUGCACUUUAAAACUGUCCACCCAAAGACGUCUACGUCUCUAAUUAUUGCUCUUAAAACACUUGCUUCUCUACCAGCUCCACUUUUCUCAAAUAAAUGUGUGUCACCUGAAAACUUUAUGUCCUCAGUUUCCUACUGAAGACCAGAUCGACUGA
Dicentrarchus labrax (European seabass) is the source of this 1654-nucleotide long non-coding RNA. RefSeq lists it as uncharacterized. The transcript is spliced from 3 exons. Lineage: Eukaryota; Metazoa; Chordata; Actinopteri; Moronidae. The record is from RefSeq and is a predicted model, not a curated record.